Small nucleolar RNA from Malania oleifera, 81 nucleotides. The record is from RefSeq and is a predicted model, not a curated record. NCBI's taxonomy places the organism in Eukaryota, Viridiplantae, Streptophyta, Magnoliopsida, Santalales, Ximeniaceae.
CAGCAUGUUGAAAAAUAGGUGGGGGAGAACCAGACUGAGCAGAAAACGAAGUAGCAAAAGAUCGCCCAGCGCUGUCUGGAA